AUUCUAGCUGGUUUGAGAUGCCUUAAAAGUAGACGAGAGUAGGCGCACACGAGAUCACAGGCAGAUCUCGCGUGAUUUGCGCUCGUUUUUUGUUGCUAAUACAUUGACUAGACCUGCUAAUACAUUAAAAAUUUAAAUUUUGCUACUUUUACAUGAAAAUAAUUAUGAUGAUCAAGACACCCAAAUGUCAACAAUCACAUAUCCCAUACGGAUCACAUGGUUGGGCUGCCACCCAAGCUGUAUUGCUGCAUCAACCAUCACAUCCCAGUCUUAUCCAUUUUCUAUGAUGGAGUUAGUGAUCUGAGACCAGACUACAGACAUUGACAAAUCUCUUUUCAUUCAUUCGUGACCAUUAUGAUCAUGGCUGGGGCCUUGAGCUUGAAGUGCUUGUUUUUGUAUUCCAGUUAGCCAGCACUACUUCCUAUCGGGUAUCCGGAGCCUUUGACAUACACCGCUCCACUGCACAAGUAAGAUCAUGAGCAAAAGAGCAAAAGUAAUUAAUUUCCCAGCUGUUGAGGAAUCGCAGGAGAUUGGAGAUGGAUUUGCACAACUCGCACAACUAAAAACCAGCAUAUGAAAAAAUAUAUUACCCCAUAACACGAAUAAAAUAUCUGUCCAUAACACAAAACUAUUCUUUAUCAUAUAAGUGUAUAUAACUUUGUUCUUUAUUCUGUCAUAGAAUUAAAACAGUUAUAUUUCUUUGGUUUCUAUUUAGGUGACUGACUGAGAGAAACAAUAAAACAAAUGGUUACCUAUUAA
Ctenopharyngodon idella (grass carp) is the source of this 759-nucleotide long non-coding RNA. RefSeq lists it as uncharacterized. The transcript is spliced from 2 exons. Lineage: Eukaryota; Metazoa; Chordata; Actinopteri; Cypriniformes; Xenocyprididae. The record is from RefSeq and is a predicted model, not a curated record.